This 506-nucleotide ribosomal RNA is filed under the name uncultured bacterium. Its description in RNAcentral is "partial 16S ribosomal RNA". It matches the Rfam family "Bacterial small subunit ribosomal RNA", at positions 29 to 523 of the family's 1533-position model. The record is from RNAcentral.
AGUGAACGCUGGCGGUAGGCCUAACACAUGCAAGUCGAACGGCAGCACAGGAGAGCUUGCUCUCUGGGUGGCGAGUGGCGGACGGGUGAGGAAUACAUCGGAAUCUACUCUGUCGUGGGGGAUAACGUAGGGAAACUUACGCUAAUACCGCAUACGACCUACGGGUGAAAGCAGGGGAUCUUCGGACCUUGCGCGAUUGAAUGAGCCGAUGUCGGAUUAGCUAGUUGGCGGGGUAAAGGCCCACCAAGGCGACGAUCCGUAGCUGGUCUGAGAGGAUGAGCAGCCACACUGGAACUGAGACACGGGCCAGACUCCUACGGGAGGCAGCCGUGGGGAAUAUUGGACAAUGGGCGCAAGCCUGAUCCAGCCAUACCGCGUGGGUGAAGAAGGCCUUCGGGUUGUAAAGCCCUUUUGUUGGGAAAGAAAUCCAGCUGGCUAAUACCCGGUUGGGAUGACGGUACCCAAAGAAUAAGCACCGGCUAACUUCGUGCCAGCCGCCGCGGUAA